RNAcentral lists this ribosomal RNA (241 nucleotides) under uncultured Staphylococcus sp. RNAcentral describes it as "partial 16S ribosomal RNA". It matches the Rfam family "Bacterial small subunit ribosomal RNA", at positions 99 to 334 of the family's 1533-position model. The record is from RNAcentral. Lineage: Bacteria; Bacillati; Bacillota; Bacilli; Caryophanales; Staphylococcaceae.
CGGACGGGUGAGUAACACGUGGAUAACCUACCUAUAAGACUGGGAUAACUUCGGGAAACCGGAGCUAAUACCGGAUAAUAUAUUGAACCGCAUGGUUCAAUAGUGAAAGACGGUUUUGCUGUCACUUAUAGAUGGAUCCGCGCCGCAUUAGCUAGUUGGUAAGGUAACGGCUUACCAAGGCAACGAUGCGUAGCCGACCUGAGAGGGUGAUUGGCCACACUGGAACUGAGACACGGUCCAG